CAAGUCGAACGGCAGCACGGGUGCUUGCACCUGGUGGCGAGUGGCGAACGGGUGAGUAAUACAUCGGAACGUACCUUAUCGUGGGGGAUAACGCAGCGAAAGUUGCGCUAAUACCGCAUACGCCCUGAGGGGGAAAGCGGGGGACCGUAAGGCCUCGCGCGAUUAGAGCGGCCGAUGUCUGAUUAGCUUGUUGGUGAGGUAAAAGCUCACCAAGGCGAUGAUCAGUAGCUGGUCUGAGAGGACGAUCAGCCACACUGGGACUGAGACACGGUCCAGACUCCUACGGGAGGCAGCAGUGGGGAAUUUUGGACAAUGGGGGCAACCCUGAUCCAGCAAUGCCGCGUGAGUGAAGAAGGCCUUCGGGUUGUAAAGCUCUUUUGUCAGGGAAGAAACAGCAGCUCUAACACAGUCUGCGAAUGACGGUACCUGAAGAAUAAGCACCGGCUAACUACGUGCCAGCAGCCGCGGUAAUACGUAGGGUGCGAGCGUUAAUCGGAAUUACUGGGCGUAAAGCGUGCGCAGGCGGUUAUACAAGACAGGCGUGAAAUCCCCGGGCUUAACCUGGGAAUGGCGUCUGUGACUGUAUAGCUAGAGUGUGUCAGAGGGGGGUGGAAUUCCACGUGUAGCAGUGAAAUGCGUAGAUAUGUGGAGGAACACCAAUGGCGAAGGCAGCCCCCUGGGAUAACACUGACGCUCAUGCACGAAAGCGUGGGGAGCAAACAGGAUUAGAUACCCUGGUAGUCCACGCCCUAAACGAUGCUGACUAGUUGUUGGGAAUUUACAUUCUCAGUAACGUAGCUAACGCGUGAAGUCAGCCGCCUGGGGAGUACGGUCGCAAGAUUAAAACUCAAAGGAAUUGACGG
This 863-nucleotide ribosomal RNA is filed under the name uncultured bacterium. RNAcentral describes it as "bacterial SSU rRNA". It matches the Rfam family "Bacterial small subunit ribosomal RNA", at positions 58 to 916 of the family's 1533-position model. The record is from RNAcentral.